RNAcentral lists this ribosomal RNA (448 nucleotides) under uncultured bacterium. RNAcentral's name for it is "bacterial SSU rRNA". It matches the Rfam family "Bacterial small subunit ribosomal RNA", at positions 329 to 794 of the family's 1533-position model. The record is from RNAcentral.
UACCAGACUCCUACGGGAGGCAGCAGUGGGGGCUCUUGCACAAUGGGGGCCACCCUGAUGCCGCGACGCCGCUUGCGUUAAGAAGUCCUUCGUUACGUAACGCUCUCUCAGCAGGGCCGCCAAUGACGGUCCCUGACUAAGACGCCCCGGCUAACUACGUGCCAGCAGCCGCGGUCAUACGUAGGGGGCCCGCGUUAUCCGGAAUUACUGGGGGGAAAGGGAGCGCAGCCGGCAGUGCAAGUCUGGAGUGAAAGCCCGUGGCUUAACCACGGGACUGCUCUGGAAACUGUGCAGCUAGAGGGCAGGAGAGGCAGGCGGAAGUCCUAGUGGAGCGGUGAAAUGCGGAGAGAUUAGGAGGAACACCGGUGGCGAAGGCGGCCUGCUGGACUGGAACUGACGGGGAGGCGCGAAAGCGGGGGGAGCAAACAGGAGGAGAUACCCGCGUAAC